This is a non-coding RNA of Athelia sp. TMB, 94 nucleotides long. The record is from the annotation of a GenBank genome assembly. NCBI's taxonomy places the organism in Eukaryota, Fungi, Basidiomycota, Agaricomycetes, Atheliales, Atheliaceae.
GGCGCUAUGGCCGAGUGGUCUAAGGCGACAGAUUUGAACCACCAAGUCUAUCUGUUCCUCUCUGAGGGCGCAGGUUCGAACCCUGCUGGCGUCG